GUCCAUUUUUACAAUCAACUGUGGCACACACAUUUAAGUUACUGUCAAGAUUGAUUCAAAUGUUAUUAACAGAACUAAGAGAAUGUAAUUUAUAUCCUUUCUUGUAAUUUGAUCAUGGAUCACCAAAUAAUCUUGUCAACUAUGAACACCAGAUUGACAUUGAUACCUUCACCCAAAUCUGCAAUAACUUCAGCUUUUUCGAAAAGGAAUCUGGCGAAAUGAAGAA
RNAcentral lists this unclassified non-coding RNA (226 nucleotides) under Hevea brasiliensis (rubber tree). Lineage: Eukaryota; Viridiplantae; Streptophyta; Magnoliopsida; Malpighiales; Euphorbiaceae. The record is from RNAcentral.